ACGGGGGGUGCGAGCGUUGUCCGGAAUCACUGGGCGUAAAGGGCGCGUAGGCGGCCCUGCGUGUCUUCCGUGAAAUCCCUCGGCUCAACUGAGGACGUGCGGAAGAAACUGCGGGGCUCGAGUCCGGGAGAGGAGGGUGGAAUUCCCAGUGUAGCGGUGAAAUGCGUAGAUAUUGGGAGGAACACCGGUGGCGAAGGCGGCCCUCUGGACCGGUACUGACGCUGAUGCGCGAAAGCGUGGGGAGCAAACGGGA
Molecule: ribosomal RNA, 253 nt
Filed under: uncultured prokaryote
Description: partial 16S ribosomal RNA
Rfam family: Bacterial small subunit ribosomal RNA
Source: RNAcentral